GAUGUGAAAUCCUAUGGCUUAACCAUAGAACUGCAUUGGAAACUGGUAACCUAGAGUAUGGGAGGGGGAGAUGGAAUUAGUGGUGUAGGGGUAAAAUCCGUAGAUAUCACUAGGAAUACCGAAAGCGAAGGCGAUCUGCUGGUACAUUACUGACGCUAAGAUACGAAAGCGUGGGGAGCAAACAGGAUUAGAUACCCUGGUAGUCCACGCCCUAAACGAUGAAUGCUAGUCGUCGGAACGCUUGUCGUUUCGGUGAUGCAGUUAACACAUUAAGCAUUCCGCCUGGGGAGUACGGUCGCAAGAUUAAAACUCAAAGGAAUAGACGGGGACCCGCACAAGUGGUGGAGCAUGUGGUUUAAUUCGAAGAUACGCGAAGAACCUUACCUAGCCUUGACAUUGAUUGAAUCUUUCAGAGAUGAGAGAGUGCCUUUCGAGGAACAUGAAAACAGGUGCUGCACGGCUGUCGUCAGCUCGUGUCGUGAGAUGUUGGGUUAAGUCCCGCAACGAGCGCAACCCUCGUCGUUAGUUGCUAACAGUUCGGCUGAGCACUCUAGCGAGACUGCCUUCGCAAGGAGGAGGAAGGUGAGGACGACGUCAAGUCAUCAUGGCCCUUAUGGCUAGGGCUACACACGUGCUACAAUGGGGCGUACAGGGAGUUGCGAUACCGCGAGGUGGAGCUAAUCUCAUAAAGCGUCUCUCAGUUCGGAUUGAUCUCUGCAACUCGAGAUCAUGAAGCUGGAAUCACUAGUAAUCGUAGAUCAGCAAUGCUACGGUGAAUACGUUCCCGGGUCUUGUACUCACCGCCCGUCACACCAUGGGAGUUGAUUUCACCCGAAAUCGGGAAGCGAACCUUCGGGACGCUACCGCUUACGGU
This 874-nucleotide ribosomal RNA is filed under the name uncultured bacterium. Its description in RNAcentral is "bacterial SSU rRNA". It matches the Rfam family "Bacterial small subunit ribosomal RNA", at positions 591 to 1463 of the family's 1533-position model. The record is from RNAcentral.